UACAGAGGUCCCAAGCGUUGUUCGGAUUCACUGGGCGUAAAGGGUGCGUAGGUGGCGCCGUAAGUCGGGUGUGAAAUUUCGGAGCUUAACUCCGAAACCGCAUUCGAUACUGCGGUGCUUGAGGACUGGAGAGGAGACUGGAAUUCAUGGUGUAGCAGUGAAAUGCGUAGAGAUCAGGAGGAACACCGAUGGCGAAGGCAGGUCACUGGGCCGCAACUGACGCUGAGGAGCGAAAGCAUGGGGAGCGAUCCGG
RNAcentral lists this ribosomal RNA (253 nucleotides) under uncultured bacterium. Its description in RNAcentral is "partial 16S ribosomal RNA". It matches the Rfam family "Bacterial small subunit ribosomal RNA", at positions 524 to 776 of the family's 1533-position model. The record is from RNAcentral.